RNAcentral lists this ribosomal RNA (254 nucleotides) under uncultured bacterium. RNAcentral describes it as "partial 16S ribosomal RNA". It matches the Rfam family "Bacterial small subunit ribosomal RNA", at positions 524 to 776 of the family's 1533-position model. The record is from RNAcentral.
UACGUAGGGUGCGAGCGUUGUCCGGAAUUAUUGGGCGUAAAGAGCUCGUAGGCGGUCUGUCGCGUCGGUCGUGAAAACUUGGGGCUUAACCCCGAGCUUGCGGUUGAUACGGGCAUGACUGGAGUUCGGCAGGGGAGACUGGAAUUCCUGGUGUAGCGGUGAAAUGCGCAGAUAUUAGGAAGAACACCAGUGGCGAAGGCGGCUCACUGGCCCGGUACUGACGCUGAGGCGCGAAAGCGUGGGGAGCAAACAGG